AUACUUGCCUGGCAGGGGAGAUGCCAUGAUCACAAAUGUGGUUUUCCCAGGGUGAAGUUCACCAUUGCACUCCAGAGGCUCAGACCCCUGUGUUUUCCCCAAAUGAAAAAGAAAGAAAGAAAGA
Molecule: small nuclear RNA, 124 nt
Filed under: Saimiri boliviensis boliviensis (Bolivian squirrel monkey)
Lineage: Eukaryota; Metazoa; Chordata; Mammalia; Primates; Cebidae
Description: U1 spliceosomal RNA (ENSSBOG00000036304.1)
Rfam family: U1 spliceosomal RNA
About the family: U1 is a small nuclear RNA (snRNA) component of the spliceosome (involved in pre-mRNA splicing).
Source: RNAcentral